GUGUCCACUUCGGCAGUACAUAUACUAAAAUUGGAACAAUACAGAGAAGAUUAGCAUGGACCCUGCACAAGGAUGACAUGCAAAUUCACGAAAUGUUACACAUUUUG
Molecule: small nuclear RNA, 107 nt
Filed under: Phascolarctos cinereus (koala)
Lineage: Eukaryota; Metazoa; Chordata; Mammalia; Diprotodontia; Phascolarctidae
Source: RNAcentral